RNAcentral lists this ribosomal RNA (486 nucleotides) under uncultured bacterium. RNAcentral's name for it is "partial 16S ribosomal RNA". It matches the Rfam family "Bacterial small subunit ribosomal RNA", at positions 29 to 507 of the family's 1533-position model. The record is from RNAcentral.
AUUGAACGCUGGCGGCAUGCUUUACACAUGCAAGUCGAGCGGCAGCGCGGGGGCAACCCUGGCGGCGAGCGGCGAACGGGUGAGUAAUGCAUCGGAACGUAUCCUCGAGUGGGGGAUAACCCAGCGAAAGUUGGGCUAAUACCGCAUGAGCUCUGAGGAGGAAAGCGGGGGACCUGCGAGGGCCUCGCGCUGGAGGAGCGGCCGAUGUCCGAUUAGCUAGUUGGUGGGGUAAAGGCUUACCAAGGCGACGAUCGGUAGCUGGUCUGAGAGGAUGAUCGGCCACACUGGGACUGAGACACGGCCCAGACUCCUACGGGAGGCAGCAGUGGGGAAUUUUGGACAAUGGGGGCAACCCUGAUCCAGCCAUGCCGCGUGAGUGAAGAAGGCCUUCGGGUUGUAAAGCUCUUUCGGACGGAACGAAAUGGGCGGGACUAAUACUCCUGUCUGAUGACGGUACCGUAAGAAGAAGCACCGGCUAACUACGUG